Molecule: non-coding RNA, 424 nt
Organism: Arachis ipaensis
Lineage: Eukaryota; Viridiplantae; Streptophyta; Magnoliopsida; Fabales; Fabaceae
Source: RefSeq, a predicted model, not a curated record
UGAGGCGCUGUAAUUCCCGGUAAAAGUUGCCGGAGAAAGGAGCUGCGCCUCUGUGUUUCUGACCGCCGGGAGUGGUUAUGUGGCUUCCAGGAUCACCGCCGGAGCUCCAGGAUGAGUUUCUACCACUUGAGACCCUGCUGCCGUCGCUGGAAAAGUUUGUCGUUGUCGUGAUCGGAAUUUGUCGCCGCUGCCGCUUGAGGUGGCUGCUGAGUUGCCGCUGAACCGGCUCGAAGACCGUCGCUGUUUCGGUUCAGCCGUUCCUUCUUCAGUUCGGUAAGCGUUUCGAUUUGAAAGCCCUUUCGUUACUGUUCUGUAAUCUCACGCUGAGGUUUAUGGCGUUAAUUGCUAUAAGAUUGAGUUUUGGUUGUUGUAUGUUGCGAUUAGAGUUGUUGAGACUGUUGCGAAAGUGGCUUGGAGCUGAGGU